CCUACGGGGGGCUGCAGUAGGGAAUCUUCCACAAUGAGCGAAAGCCUGAUGGAGCAACGCCGCGUGUGUGAUGAAGGCUUUCGGGUCGUAAAGCACUGUUGUAUGGGAAGAACAGCUAGAAUAGGAAAUGAUUUUAGUUUGACGGUACCAUACCAGAAAGGGACGGAUAAAUACGUGCCAGCAACCGCGGUAAUAAGUAUGUCCCGAGCGUUACCCGGAUUUAUUGGGCGUAAAGCGAGCGUAGACGGCUUAGUAAUUCUGAUGAGAAAGCCCGGAGCUCAACUCCGGAAGGGCAUUGGAAACUGGUUAACUUGAUUGCAGUAGAGGUAAGUGAAACUCCAUGUGUAGCGGUGGAAUGCGUAGAUAUAUGGAAGAACACCAGUGGCGAAGGCGGCUUACUGGACUGCAACUGACGUUGAGGCUCGAAAGUGUGGGUAGCAAACAGGAUUAGAUACCCGGGUAGUC
RNAcentral lists this ribosomal RNA (465 nucleotides) under uncultured Leuconostoc sp. RNAcentral describes it as "bacterial SSU rRNA". It matches the Rfam family "Bacterial small subunit ribosomal RNA", at positions 338 to 795 of the family's 1533-position model. The record is from RNAcentral. Lineage: Bacteria; Bacillati; Bacillota; Bacilli; Lactobacillales; Lactobacillaceae.